RNAcentral lists this unclassified non-coding RNA (328 nucleotides) under soil metagenome. RNAcentral describes it as "partial contains 5.8S ribosomal RNA, internal transcribed spacer 2, and large subunit ribosomal RNA". The stretch from base 3 to 119 matches the Rfam family "5.8S ribosomal RNA", at positions 38 to 154 of the family's 154-position model. The record is from RNAcentral.
GAGAAGAACGCAGCGAAAUGCGAUAAGUAAUGUGAAUUGCAGAAUUCAGUGAAUCAUCGAAUCUUUGAACGCACAUUGCGCCCCUUGGUAUUCCGAGGGGCAUGCCUGUUCGAGCGUCAUUAUAACCCCUCAAGCUCAGCUUGGUGUUGGGGCCUGCUGCACUGGCAGCCCUUAAAAUCAGUGGCGGCGCCAUCUGGCUCUAAGCGUAGUAAUUCUUCUCGCUAUGGAGUCCUGGUGGAUGCUUGCCAUCAACCCCCAAUUUUUCUAUGGUUGACCUCGGAUCAGGUGGGGAUACCCGCUGAACUUAAGCAUAUCAAUAAGCGGAGGA